GAUCAACGCUGGCGGCGUGCCUAAUGCAUGCAAGUCGGACGGGGUGGUCUUCGGACCACUUACGUGGCGGACGGGUGAGGAACACGUGGACAACCUGCCUCGAGGUGGGGGAUAGCCCGUGGAAACGCGGGGUAAGACCGCAUGUGGUCGCCUGGCUGUGGGUCGGGUGAUGAAAGCCUUCGGGCGCCUUGAGAGGGGUCUGCGACCGAUUAGCUGGUUGGUGGGGUAACGGCCUACCAAGGCGGUGAUCGGUAGCUGGUCUGAGAGGACGGCCAGCCACACGGGGACUGAGACACGGCCCCGACUCCUACGGGAGGCAGCAGCAAGGAAUUUUCCGCAAUGGGCGCAAGCCUGACGGAGCAACGCCGCGUGGGGGAGGACGCUUUUCGGAGUGUAAACCCCUUUUCUCAGGGAAGAUGAUGACGGUACCUGAGGAAGAAGGACCGGCUAACUACGUGCCAGCCGCCGCAGUAACAC
Molecule: ribosomal RNA, 477 nt
Filed under: uncultured bacterium
Lineage: Bacteria
Description: bacterial SSU rRNA
Rfam family: Bacterial small subunit ribosomal RNA
Source: RNAcentral